AGUUUAUAAUGUGGACAUUUUCGAAACAAAUGUCUAAAUCUUUCCCAGGUUUCAUAUAAUGAUUCACCAUCCAAUUGACUAAAACUAGUAAUGUCCAUUCUAAACUU
Molecule: small nucleolar RNA, 107 nt
Organism: Coffea eugenioides
Lineage: Eukaryota; Viridiplantae; Streptophyta; Magnoliopsida; Gentianales; Rubiaceae
Source: RefSeq, a predicted model, not a curated record